AAUCCUAAUUUGUCUUACUCCCUCCACUUGAUCUUAUAUUCUUGUUUGGCGAUGGAGAACCACUAGCAACAUCCGGUGCCUAGAAUAAGUUAAAAUAUGUUUAAAGUUAAUUGUCAAUAUCCAAAAUAGUCCAAAACAAUCAUUGUUAUAAUGCGUAUGAACUUAUAUCAAAUUGACAAAUUAAAUCAUUGGGAUAAUAAAAUAAAACUAGGUUAAUAAAACUAAAAUAAGAGAAAAAAUAUCUUAAUAUUUUAUAGAAAAAAAUAGAUCAAUAUAUAGUUUUUGAAUUAACAAACAAUGUUAGUAUAUCUUUGAAUAAUUUUAAAUUCUUAACUUUUUUUUUAUUUGGAUGCAAGCUUGACAAACUCAUUUAUAUGUUAAAUUGAGGAUACAUACGUUAUGUAAAUUUAAAUAUAAUAAAAUACAAACCAACACAAGUAACUAAUAAUGUUUCUUCUGAUAUAAGAAUUAUAAGUUUUGAGAUUUCAACCCCAAUCAUAAAGUAUUACAUGAGCAACUAAAUUCAAAGAAUAGUAAUACCACUUACCCGUAUGAUAAUUGUCAUCCUAGUAAAUUCAUCCAGAGAACCAACUCUCUGUACCAGGAUUUAAGCCAUGCGACCCUAAUCUACAAAAUUCAAAAGUAUCACUGCUCGAGUUAGAAAAUGAUAAAUGAAUAAAAAACUUUGCUUUUUGUGUCAAAGUAGUAGUUAAAAAUGAGGCACAACUCAAUUAAUCAACAUAACUGCUAGCUAAUAGGUUUAUCAACCCAAAAAGGGUUUAUCAACCCAAAAAGAUAGAUUAUAAGAAAGAUAUAGUGGAUGGUGGCUGCAAUAAAUUUUACGCAUACAGAAAUUUGUUUCAGUUUUCUUCUUUAUAUAUAUAUACAUUACUUCAAUUUGAUAAGAACCAUUAAGCAUGCUUUUCUUUCAAAAUGCGAUGGACUGAAGUUUAGAUAAUUUUUCUCAAUAUUAAUUACAUCAACUUUCUUCUUUUAUAAUUCUAAAUUUGUAUCCCAGUCCCAGCUUGAACCUAUAUUAACUAUAUAAUAAUAGUAAACAUCAAAAGGCAUAUACGCAUACAUAACCACAAGUUCACUUAUUUCUAAUGAAGCACAUGGGAAAAAAUUAACAUCAUGUUCUUAGACCCCAAUGUAUUGAUGGCUUGGACAUGCAUAAUGAUAAAUACUUCAAGCCGUAAUAGAAACUUUUAAAUAUCUAUGAUAACAACCUUAAUAUUGCUCCUCAACAAGCAACGCCUCUAGCUCUUUCUCUUUUGCAUCUCUUAUAUUAAGCAACACUUUCAAUGAUUCCUGAAAAGGGAAAUAGUUAAUGCAUGUGUCUUGGGAAUAACUCUGCAAGAGANNNN
This 1367-nucleotide long non-coding RNA is filed under the name Phaseolus vulgaris (common bean). Its description in RNAcentral is "long non-coding RNA (PVUL_LNC000363)". The record is from RNAcentral. Lineage: Eukaryota; Viridiplantae; Streptophyta; Magnoliopsida; Fabales; Fabaceae.